RNAcentral lists this ribosomal RNA (410 nucleotides) under Verrucomicrobiota bacterium. RNAcentral describes it as "Verrucomicrobia bacterium partial 16S ribosomal RNA". It matches the Rfam family "Bacterial small subunit ribosomal RNA", at positions 355 to 776 of the family's 1533-position model. Lineage: Bacteria; Pseudomonadati; Verrucomicrobiota. The record is from RNAcentral.
UGGGGAAUCUUGCACAAUGGGCGAAAGCCUGAUGCAGCGACGCCGCGUGCGGGAUGAAGGCCUUCGGGUUGUAAACCGCUUUCAGCAGGGACGAGGCCGCAAGGUGACGGUACCUGCAGAAGAAGCCCCGGCUAACUACGUGCCAGCAGCCGCGGUAAUACGUAGGGGGCAAGCGUUAUCCGGAUUCAUUGGGCGUAAAGCGCGCGUAGGCGGUCUGUUAGGUCAGGAGUCAAAUCUGGGGGCUCAACCCCUAUCCGCUCCUGAUACCGGCAGGCUUGAGUCUGGUAUGGGAAGGUGGAAUUCCAAGUGUAGCGGUGAAAUGCGCAGAUAUUUGGAAGAACACCAGUGGCGAAGGCGGCCUUCUGGGCCAUGACUGACGCUGAGGCGCGAAAGCUAGGGGAGCGAACAGG